Long non-coding RNA from Nerophis lumbriciformis (worm pipefish), 420 nucleotides. RefSeq lists it as uncharacterized. The record is from RefSeq and is a predicted model, not a curated record. Lineage: Eukaryota; Metazoa; Chordata; Actinopteri; Syngnathiformes; Syngnathidae.
AGAUCAGCACAGCCUGGAUCCUACCUGGAAUGUCAGCCUCUUACAAAACCAGACUGAGCUGACUAGAGCUCGGUGACCUUCUUCUUCAUCGCCAUCAUCCGAGGAAGACGACGUCCUCUCUGUCGGUCAUUCCGAUAAAAGUGACAACAAGCGGGCGAUAACCUUUCCUCUGUCUUUAAAGUGCAAAUUGGGGAGAAAACAAGUGUCUUGUGUUCUCCAAAGAAAAACACAAAACGUUAGCAUGCAGAUAGCGGCGAUGAGGAUCCAAAUGCUACUGAGCUAAAAGUGAAGCCCGAGCUCGUAGAAGCUAGCCACGCAGAACGACAACAAUGGCCGCAGCCGUGUUAUCAACCAGUGACGGGGCACAAAAAAUCAAUUCACAUCCGAAUGGCAAUUCUUACUCAUUCCUGUUCUAAAUAC